GGAAUAUUGGACAAUGGGCGAAAGCCUGAUCCAGCCAUGCCGCGUGAGUGAUGACGGCCCUAGGGUUGUAAAGCUCUUUCGCAGGUGAAGAUAAUGACGGUAACCUGAGCAGAAGCCCCGGCUAACUUCGUGCCAGCAGCCGCGGUAAUACGAAGGGGGCUAGCGUUGCUCGGAAUCACUGGGCGUAAAGCGCACGUAGGCGGCUUUCUAAGUCAGGGGUGAAAUCCUGGAGCUCAACUCCAGAACUGCCUUUGAUACUGGAGAGCUUGAGUUCGGGAGAGGUGAGUGGAACUGCGAGUGUAGAGGUGAAAUUCGUAGAUAUUCGCAAGAACACCAGUGGCGAAGGCGACUCACUGGCCCGAUACUGACGCUGAGGUGCGAAAGCGUGGGGAGCAAA
This 397-nucleotide ribosomal RNA is filed under the name uncultured bacterium. Its description in RNAcentral is "bacterial SSU rRNA". It matches the Rfam family "Bacterial small subunit ribosomal RNA", at positions 358 to 772 of the family's 1533-position model. The record is from RNAcentral.